GGAUAGCGCUUGCUUUUGAUACAUAGCCUAUUCCACAUAGAAUUUUUAGAGCUACCCGCAGCAAGGUUUUUAUCUCCAAAAAGCCAUUUUGCAACCAGUUAAAGGUACACAGAGUCGCCUGUUUUGAAACACUUUAUCCUUCGUAAAACACUCAAGCUUCAGUGUAUCAAUAUGCAACUCAAGAAUAAAAUGAGUCUCUCAGAGGGGGAAAAGAUGGUAUUUCUAGCUAAAGAGAGACGCGGC
Long non-coding RNA from Amphimedon queenslandica, 243 nucleotides. RefSeq lists it as uncharacterized. The record is from RefSeq and is a predicted model, not a curated record. The transcript has 2 exons. Lineage: Eukaryota; Metazoa; Porifera; Demospongiae; Haplosclerida; Niphatidae.